GAUUUUGCCUUCGGGUACAAUUGAGACAGGUGGUGCAUGGUUGUCGUCAGCUCGUGUCGUGAGAUGUUGGGUUAAGUCCCGCAACGAGCGCAACCCUUGUGUUUAGUUGCAAACAGGUCAAGCUGUGCACUCUAGACAGACUGCCGUGGACAACACGGAGGAAGGUGGGGAUGACGUCAAAUCAUCAUGCCCCUUAUGAUCUGGGCUACACACGUGCUACAAUGGCCGGUACAACGGGCAGCGAAGGAGCGAUCCGGAGCGAAUCCUAAAAAGCCGGUCCCAGUUCGGAUUGCAGGCUGAAACUCGCCUACAUGAAGUUGGAGUUGCUAGUAAUCGCGAAUCAGAAUGUCGCGGUGAAUGCGUUCCCGGGUCUU
This 374-nucleotide ribosomal RNA is filed under the name uncultured Fusibacter sp. RNAcentral's name for it is "bacterial SSU rRNA". It matches the Rfam family "Bacterial small subunit ribosomal RNA", at positions 1010 to 1382 of the family's 1533-position model. Lineage: Bacteria; Bacillati; Bacillota; Clostridia; Eubacteriales; Fusibacteraceae. The record is from RNAcentral.